GAUGUUGGAUUAAUUCGAUGCAACGCGAAAAACCUUACUACCCUUUGACAUGUCCGGAAUCCCGAAGAGAUUCGGGAGUGCUCGCAAGAGAACCGGAACACAGGUGCUGCAUGGCUGUCGUCAGCUCGUGUCGUGAGAUGUUGGGUUAAGUCCCGCAACGAGCGCAACCCUUGUCAUUAGUUGCCAUCAUUUGUUGGGGCACUCUAAUGAGACUGCCGGUGACAAACCGGAGGAAGGUGGGGAUGACGUCAAGUCCUCAUGGCCCUUAUGGGUAGGGCUUCACACGUCAUACAAUGGUCGGUACAGAGGGUUGCCAACCCGCGAGGGGGAGCUAAUCCCACAAAGCCGAUCGUAGUCCGGAUCGCAGUCUGCAACUCGACUGCGUGAAGUCGGAAUCGCUAGUAAUCGUGGAUCAGAAUGUCACGGUGAAUACGUUCCCGGGUCCUU
RNAcentral lists this ribosomal RNA (447 nucleotides) under uncultured Rhodocyclaceae bacterium. RNAcentral's name for it is "bacterial SSU rRNA". It matches the Rfam family "Bacterial small subunit ribosomal RNA", at positions 938 to 1382 of the family's 1533-position model. Lineage: Bacteria; Pseudomonadati; Pseudomonadota; Betaproteobacteria; Rhodocyclales; Rhodocyclaceae. The record is from RNAcentral.